Molecule: non-coding RNA, 451 nt
Organism: Lonchura striata (white-rumped munia)
Lineage: Eukaryota; Metazoa; Chordata; Aves; Passeriformes; Estrildidae
Source: RefSeq, a predicted model, not a curated record
AUUCUUCACAGACACUGCGUGGACAAAGAACAACAGAUGUGUUCCUUCUUGUGUGUAUCCCACAUCUGGUUAUAGGAAGAACAGCUUCAGGCAGAAGAUCACAAGCUACCUGCUUGCCCCCCAUUCAAUCGAAAGGCAUUCAAAGACAUGGAUUCAGCAGAGCAGAUGACAUAUUUACUGGGAUUCUAUCCACCCUGGCACAGCACUCUGACCACCAAGAUUUGGGUGAAAAGGAGCCAGCUUGUCUUUCUGCAGCUUUGCUCUGUGUGAUCCAGGUAAAUUGGAAUUUACAGAGGACAUUGGCAUAGCAAGAUCAGUUUGUGAAUUCUGUCUGAGUCAUCUUAGUGUAUGCAAGACAUUUACUCAUUCACUUCAGUUUUGGUUAUCUGAUUGUAAUCUUUAAGGAAAAUUAGUAAUGAUAAAUAAAAUUGACAGUUGAGGAGUCAGAACA